This 549-nucleotide unclassified non-coding RNA is filed under the name Hevea brasiliensis (rubber tree). The record is from RNAcentral. Lineage: Eukaryota; Viridiplantae; Streptophyta; Magnoliopsida; Malpighiales; Euphorbiaceae.
UAUGAUUACACGGGAUAUGGUGGAUCUUCAGGUAAGCCAUCUGAGUUCAACACGUACCACGACAUAGAAGCUGUCUAUAAUUGUUUGAAGAGUGAAUACAGCAUUAAGCAAGAGGAUAUCAUCCUAUAUGGACAAUCUGUUGGCAGUGGACCGACACUACACUUGGCAUCUCGCCUACAGAGGUUAAGAGCCAUUGUUCUUCAUAGCGCUAUACUUUCAGGAAUACGAGUUCUAUAUCCUGUCAAGAUGACAUUCUGGUUUGACAUUUUCAAAAAUAUAGACAAAAUACAAAAAGUCAGCUGCCCGGUUUUAGUAAUCCAUGGUACAUCAGAUGAAGUUGUUGACUUUUCACAUGGUAAGCGUUUGUGGGAACUUGCCAAAGAGAAAUAUGAUCCAUUAUGGGUCGAAGGUGGAGGACAUUGUAAUUUAGAGACAUUUCCCGAGUACAUCAAGCACAUGCGCAAAUUCGUUAAUGCAAUGGAGAAACACUCGUUCUCUAAACGAAACAAAGGACGGCUUUCUCAAAGCCCGAGUAUAGCUGAAUCCAAA